ACUUCUUAUUUGGUCUCCUAUAUAAUAUAUCCAUAAUAUGCUAAGUGAGUCAAAGGAAUCAGUGAUGUCUUAAUGUUAAUAAAUAUAAUUUUUUUCUUAAAACUGACUUACUCAAUAAUCACUUCAAUUUAAGGUUCUUAAUUAUCUCAAUUAUAAGUAUUUGAUUGAAUAAUCAAUUAGUGAAUAAUAAAGUCAAGUAAUCCAAUAUGUCCCGAUUUAUUCUUCUUACU
This 230-nucleotide long non-coding RNA is filed under the name Physcomitrium patens. RNAcentral's name for it is "long non-coding RNA (PPAT_LNC010089)". The record is from RNAcentral. Lineage: Eukaryota; Viridiplantae; Streptophyta; Bryopsida; Funariales; Funariaceae.